This 864-nucleotide ribosomal RNA is filed under the name uncultured Actinomycetes bacterium. RNAcentral describes it as "bacterial SSU rRNA". It matches the Rfam family "Bacterial small subunit ribosomal RNA", at positions 11 to 880 of the family's 1533-position model. The record is from RNAcentral. Lineage: Bacteria; Bacillati; Actinomycetota; Actinomycetes.
GUUUGAUCCUGGCUCAGGACGAACGCUGGCGGCGUGCCUAGCACAUGCAAGUCGAACGAGGUCCAUGCAGUGGCAACACUGCGGAAGACCUAGUGGCGAACGGGUGAGUAACACGUGAGGAACUUGCCCCGGAGACCGGGAUAACCCUCCGAAAGGAGAGCUAAUACCGGACGUCCUCACCGAGUCGCAUGGCUUGGUGAGGAAAUGGAUUCCGCUCCGGGAGAGCCUCGCGGCCUAUCAGCUAGUUGGUGGGGUAACGGCCCACCAAGGCGUCGACGGGUAGCUGGUCUGAGAGGACGAUCAGCCACACUGGGACUGAGACACGGCCCAGACUCCUACGGGAGGCAGCAGUGGGGAAUCUUGCGCAAUGGGCGAAAGCCUGACGCAGCAACGCCGCGUGCGGGAUGAAGGCCUUCGGGUUGUAAACCGCUUUCAGUGGGGACGAACCAAGACGGUACCCACAGAAGAAGCCCCGGCCAACUACGUGCCAGCAGCCGCGGUAACACGUAGGGGGCAAGCGUUGUCCGGAUUCAUUGGGCGUAAAGAGCUCGUAGGCGGUUCGAUAAGUCGGGUGUGAAACCUCCAGGCUCAACCUGGAGACGCCACCCGAUACUGUCGUGACUAGAGUCCAGUAGGGGAGCGUGGAAUUCCUGGUGUAGCGGUGAAAUGCGCAGAUAUCAGGAGGAACACCAGCGGCGAAGGCGGCGCUCUGGGCUGGAACUGACGCUGAGGAGCGAAAGCGUGGGGAGCGAACAGGAUUAGAUACCCCUGGUAGUCCACGCCGUAAACGUUGGGUACUAGGUGUGGGGUCUUAUCAGCGGAUUCCGUGCCGAAGCUAACGCAUUAAGUACCCCGCCUGGGGAG